GGUAUUCAUUCUUACUUUAUGCAGGUGUGUUACAGGUGCGUUACAGGUGUGUUACAGGUGCGCUACAGGUGUGUUACAGGUGCGUUACAGGUGUGUUACAGGUGCGUUACAGGUGUGUUACAGGUGCGUUACAGGUGUGUUACAGGUGCGCUACAGGUGCGCUACAGGUGCGCUACAGGUGUGUUACAGGUGCGCUACAGGUGCGCUACAGGUGCGCUACAGGUGCGUUACAGGUGCGUUACAGGUGCGCUACAGGUGCGCUACAGGUGCGUUACAGGUGCGCUACAGGUGCGUUACAGGUGCGUUACAGGUGCGUUACAGGUGCGCUACAGGUGCGUUACAGGUGCGCUACAGGUGCGUUACAGGUGCGCUACAGGUGCGCUACAGGUGCGUUACAGGUGCGCUACAGUUCCCUUGCGGGGUGCUGAAUACAUUUAACUCAGUCGCUGAAAACACCUCCCAUUUUGUUAAGACAGCAGAUUUUUUCAUUCGGUAGUGUUUUCAGUCCAUUUAUCUAAAGCCGUCCCUUUUAAAUUUGAAUUUUCUCUACAGACUCACUAGAAUAUAUUGGGAGAAGAGAUCAGAAUAUUAGGGAUCAAAUAAAGAAAGUCUAGUUUAGUCAGCCACCAAUUGUGCAAGUUCUCCCACUUAAAAAGAUGAGAGAGGCCUGUAAUUUUCAUCAUAGGUACACUUCAACUAUGACAGACAAAAUGAGAGAGAAAAAAAUCCAGAAAAUCACAUUGUAGGAUUUUUUAUGACUUUUUUUGCAAAUUAUUGUGGAAAAUAAGUAUUUGGUCAAUAACAAAAGUUUAUCUCAAUACAAAAUACACACAAUUCUUCCCCUUUUUAGCACCAAUUGUAGAUUAUUUCGGGUUAGGGAAGUAUUUAUGAAUAAUAACCCCCCAAAAAAGUUUGGAGAGCCUGUAUGCACAAAUAUAUUGGUGAAUCAACCAAAAUGUGCCGCCCUUUGCGAGGCACUACAAAACCGCCCUGGUCUUCGUGGUUGAAUCUGUGUUUGGUCCAAAGUAGUGCACUACAUAGGGAAUAGGGAGGCAUUUCAGAUGCGGACUUCCUCCCUCAGUCACAGUACUUUUUACAUUGCCGUUUAUAGGGACCUUACAAUUAACUGUAUGUGUUGAGUACAGAGAUGAGGUAGUCAUUCAAAAAAUCAUGUUAAACACUCAUUGCACACGGUGAGUCUAUGCAACUUGGUAUGUGACGAACAGGCCCCCACUUUAACAUCUACGGGGCUGCGCUCGCGGUGAGCGGGUCGAGAGUUUCAAGUUCUUUGGUGUCCACAUCACCAGCAAACUAUCAUGGGCCAAACACACCAGGACAGUCAUGAAGAGGGCACGACAACACCUUUUCCCAACAUUUGGUAUGGGUCCCCAUCUCUUCAAAAAGUUCUACAGCUGCACCAUCGAGAGCUUCCUGACCGGUUGCAUCACCGCCUGCUAUGGCAACUGCUCGGCCUCCGACCGCAAGGCGCUACAGAGGGUAGUGUGUACGGCCCAGUACAUCACUGGGGCCAAGCUUCCUGCCUUCCAGGACCUCUUUACCAGGCGGUGUCAGAGGAAGAACCUAAAAAUUGUCUGUCUCCAGCCCCCCUAGUCAUACACUGUUCUCUCUGCUACCGCACAGCAAGAGGUACCGGAGCGCCAAGUCUAGGACCAAGAGGCUCCUUAACAGCUUCUACCCCCAAGCCUUAAGACUGAUGAACAAUUAAUCAAAUGUUUCUUAAAUGUUUCUUAACUCGAUUUAUUGAACUGCAUUGUUGGUUAAGGGCUUGUAAGUAGGCAUUUCACAGUAAGGUCUACACCUGUUGGUUAAGGGAUGGUAAGUCAGCAUUUCACAGUAAGGUCUACUACACCUGUUGGUUAAGGGAUGGUAAGUCAGCAUUUCACAGUAAGGUCUACUACACCUGUUGGUUAUGGGAUGGUAAAUCAGCAUUUCACAGUAAGGUCUACUACACCUGUUGUAUUCGGAUUAUACCCUGAUGAAGACAGCUUGUCUGGAUAUAAAUAUUUUUGCAUCUUGA
Oncorhynchus nerka (sockeye salmon) is the source of this 2038-nucleotide long non-coding RNA. RefSeq lists it as uncharacterized. NCBI's taxonomy places the organism in Eukaryota, Metazoa, Chordata, Actinopteri, Salmoniformes, Salmonidae. The transcript has 2 exons. The record is from RefSeq and is a predicted model, not a curated record.